This 430-nucleotide long non-coding RNA is filed under the name Theobroma cacao (cacao). RNAcentral describes it as "long non-coding RNA (TCAC_LNC002030)". The record is from RNAcentral. Lineage: Eukaryota; Viridiplantae; Streptophyta; Magnoliopsida; Malvales; Malvaceae.
UCUGCUCUGCUCAUCUCCUUCCUCAUCACUAAUUUGAACACUUUCCACAAAAAGACUGAAAAACCAAAAAGAGAGAAACACCCAUGGCUUCAUUUCUUCUGUACUCUAUACUCUCUGCAGUUUUUCUGUAUUUCAUUUUCGCUACCCUGAGGAAGCGCCACCGUCUGCCUCUCCCUCCGGGCCCAAAACCAUGGCCGAUCAUUGGAAACUUGCCUCAUAUGGGCCCAGUGCCUCACCACAGCUUAGCAGCCUUGGCCAAAGUUUAUGGGCCCCUCAUGCACCUGAGGUUAGGAUUCGUGGACGUGGUGGUGGCGGCGUCGGCAUCCGUGGCGGCCCAAUUCUUGAAGGUGCAUGACGCCAAUUUCUCUAGCCGGCCGCCCAAUUCUGGUGCCAAGUAUGUUGCUUAUAACUACCAGGACCUGGUGUUUGC